AUGAGGCUCUGCUGUCCUGUGCAGUAGAGGCAGAGGAACAUUUAUUUCUAAUUCAUUUCCUUCAGCCACAGACACAAACUUUGCAAGGCAUGUGACAUUCAUCUGUGGUCGGGCUGGUGUGUGCGCCCUUGGUGCCAUGGCUGCAAAGAACGUUGGGGAUCAUGCACUGCUCAACCACUACCUAUCCCAGUUCAAAGCGGUAAUGCUUUGAAAAGUUGUUGGCUAGAAAGUUAGUAAUGGUUGUCUUCUCGAGCCGAAAAAGAUAUUUAUGCGAUGUACUACCUCAUUUGGCCAUCACUUCUCUUAGGGGUUUCUGGACUGUGUAUGAAUUGCCACUUCAUAGGGUAUGGUCGUGAAGGAAAUCAUCAAGGAUGGAAUACGAUUAGCCAACAAGGGUAGUUGCCCAUUGAUUUUAUCUUAUAUGGAGGCUUUCUGAAACAUAUGUUGAGUUGCUGGAAAUCCAAAACUCAAUGAUGGUGGAAGAGCAUGAUGUCUCAUGUGAAGCUCCAAUCCAAAAUGAGUAAGUUGCAGGACAGUCCACAGAGUGAGUGAGGUUAUGAGAAGCUAUCACCAGACUAUCAUACUAUCAUAUCCAUCUGAUUUAUGGGCUGCAUAUAGGUGGUUAUACCAAUGACCCUAUAAAAAUAGAGAUCUGAAAAUACCUAAGAAUUCUUUUAUUAGAGACGGUACUGUUAUUACUCCUUGGUUGUUGUGACUUGUGAUUAAUGACCUUUUUAUAUAUAAUACAUUGUCAAUGAUGAUGAGGAACUAGCGAGGGCCUCACAAGCAUUGUUGUGUGAAAGUAACACAGUUUUGAAAUAGUGAUUGCUCAGUGGUCAUCAAGGACUGAAUGAAGCUCCACAGAUGAUAGAUAUGGACAACCUACAAUAAUUGGAUCAUUUGGUAAAACUGGAGUACCCAACUCCGAUGCUUGGAUAUUUGUGUAAGCUUCAAGAAUGAUCGUCCAGAAGAAUUGGAUGCUAGGAAACAGUUUUAUGGGGCAACAUUUGCACUGCAUAGGUCAUGCACCAAGCUAGCAAAGUCCCCUACUUAUUGGGCCUUGAUUCUCAUGACCUAUUACAGAUGGCAAUGCAGAAUUUCUGAGUUUGCCACUUGAGAGUCUUGUGUAUGCUGCCAAAUUGGAUAAAUUACGAGGAACACAUGCAAGACCCAGUCAUCGGAAUCUAUGAAAAAAAAAAGUCGGGUCCACAACGCAUAAUAAAGUACACAAUAUUGCAAUGUUUUGGAUGCUGCUCUAUGCACAUCCACCUGUCUUGGCUUUGAUACACAUACUCAUGGGCAGUAUAGGUGCAUGCUGGAUGACUUGGAUUAGUUGGACUUGGAUGGUUAGUCAUAUUUACUUGUGUUUGUGCUUGUUGCUUGAUUCAAUUUGUUUUGUUUUCUAAGUUAGUGAACUUUAGUUUCUGAAUAGAAGUUAUAAGUUGUUGAGUAUCUUUGCUUUUAUGAUUUUAC
Long non-coding RNA from Magnolia sinica, 1473 nucleotides. RefSeq lists it as uncharacterized. The transcript is spliced from 7 exons. The record is from RefSeq and is a predicted model, not a curated record. NCBI's taxonomy places the organism in Eukaryota, Viridiplantae, Streptophyta, Magnoliopsida, Magnoliales, Magnoliaceae.